GUCAGGAUGGCCGAGUGGUCUAAGGCGCUGCGUUCAGGUUGCAGUCCACUUCUUGUGGGCAUGGGUUCGAAUCCCACUUCUGACA
Molecule: transfer RNA, 85 nt
Filed under: Caerostris darwini
Lineage: Eukaryota; Metazoa; Arthropoda; Arachnida; Araneae; Araneidae
Description: tRNA-Leu
Rfam family: tRNA
About the family: Transfer RNA (tRNA) molecules are approximately 80 nucleotides in length. Their secondary structure includes four short double-helical elements and three loops (D, anti-codon, and T loops).
Source: RNAcentral